CACUGACUCACUUGUGAUCUUUGACCACUGGGUGUUUAGAGUUUCGGACCUGACUGAACAACUCAAUACGAAUCACGCCCUGGACUACAGCCACCUUCUUUCCUGGAGCAAGCUACUUGGAAAGUUACUGCUAUACUCCAAAUAGGGACACCACACUUGGAAUCUGAAGCUUAACAGAAAAAAAUGAAGAACCUGAUUGCAUGUCUGAGGAAGAGAAGGCCAGAUGGGCUGCAACAGUGAAUCCUAAUGUCUGACUGAGGCCACAGCACAAGUUGUGGAGAGGUUUUAGGAGUUUCGCAUGUUUCCUCAUGUACAGAGGUUCAAAUGGCUGCACUAAAUUGCUUUUAGUUGUGAGGGUGUAAAUGUGAGUAUGCAGUGCCCUGUGUUGGACUACUAUACUGUCCUGCACCAAGAGUUUCCAGGUGAUGACGGACCCACCCCGACCCUGAGAAGUAAGAAGCAAGUACGAGGGAUCUUCAAAAAGUUUCUGCACUUUUAUAUUUUGGUUGGAAACAGUGAGGGUGGGAGAAAUAGUAAUUGGUCAUGUCUGAGAGACUGAGAGACAGUUUAUGGUUCAGAUUUAGCGCCAUCUGAUUUUCACCUUUUAGGACUGCUCAAAGCUUUAAGGGGAAGAAGAUUUUCAUGCGAUGAUGAUGUUAAAGCAACCAAAAAAAUUUUUGCUGAUUGGUGCGACGCUGGGUACGACGCUUAUUGGUACAACGCUGAAAAAAUGCAAAAGACUGUGGAAGGAAACCGGAGCUCCCAGAGGAAACCCACACAGACACGGGGAGAACAUGCAAACUUCACACAGCAAGGAUCCGGACCGCCCCACCUGGGGAUCGAACCCAGGACCUCCUUGCUGUGAGGUGACAGUGCUACCCACUGAGCCACCGUGCCGCCCAAUAGUCUAUAUUUAAUCGAUCGAUUCUGUAAGCCCCGUGUGACAUGUGUGAAGCCAUUGGGGUCCUCUUUUUACCAGACAGUACUGGAUUACUACCUAAAACUAUAACACACAAAGAAACACACUUUACUGUGGUAUUCCUCAGCCACUCAUGCUGGCAGCUUGACUGGACAUUAGGAGUGCUGUUGGGGCAGCCCCUUAUCCGACCUUUGCUUCUACAAAAGAAAACUGGCAGUUUUCUCACACCUUUUAAAGGCAUGCAAAAUGAAUGUGCCCUGUUUGCAGGUAUUCCCCAAACCCACCACCACCUUGAUCGGGAAAAAGCAUUUAUUUUAAAUGAAUAAAUGAAUAUUUUACUACAUUAUAGUACUGUCAUACAUUAGAAUUUAUUAAGAACAACCAUUAAUUACCACAUAGCUAAAACUCCAGCAAAUAUAACUGUGUUAAACAACAAAACAUUUCCAAGCAGUUGAUAGUUUUAAGGCUCUAACCAGAUGUUUAAUUCGAUAUUUAAUUUCAUUUUCAUUAAAUGCUCUAUUCUGGUCAGUAUUGCGGCAGGAAUAGUUUUACUCGAAAACACUGGGCGUAAGGCAGAAAUACCCUAGACUGUGCCAUUCAAUCGCAGGGCUUCAGCUAUCUGCACCAUUCAGGGAAGACGAAAAAGCUAAAUACUACCACCACCGUGGUACAUUGUUGUUGGUUUUGAAUGCUUCACCUGUUCUGUUCCCAAAACAACUGAAUCUUUGUUUCAUCUGAUCCCAUUACUAAUCUUUUUUAUUGCGAAGAAGCUUCUAAGCCCAUGAUGGUAUAAAGCUUGCUUGAGGUUUGGUUAUUUGUUUGAAAACUGGUGCAGUCAAGCUCGACCUGUUUUUACAGGCACAGAUUUGUAAAGAGCUAUUAUCAAUUAUAAUCACAAAGUUGAAUGCCAUUAAAAGUAUUUUAGGCCAUUUAAUUAAUACUUCAAAAGUUGCUGUAUAUACAUGACCCAGUAUAUUUUUGAAAACACAAAAACUUGUGAAAGAACUUGAAUUUGUGAAGGUUUACUGGACAAAAAGAAAAUGUGUUAUAAUGAUUCAGUAACAGAAAAUUAUACUGGUGAUACUGGUGCAAAAGCCACUGAAAUCCAGAGACUGUCAUGACGUACAUUUCCCCUAAAUUGUA
Molecule: long non-coding RNA, 2062 nt
Organism: Trichomycterus rosablanca
Lineage: Eukaryota; Metazoa; Chordata; Actinopteri; Siluriformes; Trichomycteridae
Exons: 4
Source: RefSeq, a predicted model, not a curated record